This 526-nucleotide unclassified non-coding RNA is filed under the name Hevea brasiliensis (rubber tree). Lineage: Eukaryota; Viridiplantae; Streptophyta; Magnoliopsida; Malpighiales; Euphorbiaceae. The record is from RNAcentral.
CGCCUCUGUUCAAGACUGGGAACAUCUCUUGCAUCAGUUGAACGCCUUUCAGCCAGUCUUAGCAAAAUGUGAGCUGCAAGCAUAUGCUGCCGCUUCAAGACAUAAUACCGUGCCAAAAGAUCAAAGUAUUUUGCUUGAUUAGAAGUGAUGGGUGCUUUUGAAUGACUAAUGGAAGAAGUUGUAGAUAUAGCAGAAACAGCUUGGACCUCCCGCAAUGGUUCACGGCCAGCAUUUUGCAGGAAAGGCACUAAAUCAGGACCACCAUACUCCAAUAGCUCAUUUUCGAGGCCCAAAUCAAUCAUAGUCCGGUACAGAUACUCAUGAAACAGUCUGUCAGAUGAUUGAACACUGAGUUGAACAAUUUGGCAGAUAUAUUUCUUUCGAGAAGCCUGAUCAAGCACUGGUCGCAUGGCAGCAGGCCUCACUGGAGAUCCAAACUCCAUUUGCAAAGAUUCAACUCUAAGAGAACGUAAAGCACUAGUAAUUAUCUCAUAGCACUUUUCACGCUGAGCUAUUGCAUGUUCUC